GAUGAACGCUGGCGGCGUGCCUAUACGUGCAAGUCGAGCGAACAGACGAGGAGCUUGCUCCUCUGACGUUAGCGGCGGACGGGUGAGUAACACGUGGAUAACCUACCUAUAAGACUGGGAUAACUUCGGGAAACCGGAGCUAAUACCGGAUAAUAUAUUGAACCGCAUGGUUCAAUAGUGAAAGACGGUUUUGCUGUCACUUAUAGAUGGAUCCGCGCCGCAUUAGCUAGUUGGUAAGGUAACGGCUUACCAAGGCAACGAUGCGUAGCCGACCUGAGAGGGUGAUCGGCCACACUGGAACUGAGACACGGUCCAGACUCCUAUGGGAGGCAGCAGUAGGGAAUCUUCCGCAAUGGGCGAAAGCCUGACGGAGCAACGCCGCGUGAGUGAUGAAGGUCUUCGGAUCGUAAAACUCUGUUAUUAGGGAAGAACAAAUGUGUAAGUAACUAUGCACGUCUUGACGGUACCUAAUCAGAAAGCCACGGCUAACUACGUG
This 496-nucleotide ribosomal RNA is filed under the name uncultured bacterium. Its description in RNAcentral is "partial 16S ribosomal RNA". It matches the Rfam family "Bacterial small subunit ribosomal RNA", at positions 28 to 507 of the family's 1533-position model. The record is from RNAcentral.